RNAcentral lists this ribosomal RNA (469 nucleotides) under uncultured bacterium. RNAcentral describes it as "partial 16S ribosomal RNA". It matches the Rfam family "Bacterial small subunit ribosomal RNA", at positions 355 to 815 of the family's 1533-position model. The record is from RNAcentral.
UAGGGAAUCUUCCACAAUGGACGAAAGUCUGAUGGAGCAACGCCGCGUGAGUGAUGAAGGGUUUCGGCUCGUAAAACUCUGUUGUUGGAGAAGAACGGGUGUCAGAGUAACUGUUGACAUCGUGACGGUAUCCAACCAGAAAGCCACGGCUAACUACGUGCCAGCAGCCGCGGUAAUACGUAGGUGGCAAGCGUUGUCCGGAUUUAUUGGGCGUAAAGCGAGCGCAGGCGGUUUUUUAGGUCUGAUGUGAAAGCCUUCGGCUUAACCGGAGAAGUGCAUCGGAAACCGGGAGACUUGAGUGCAGAAGAGGACAGUGGAACUCCAUGUGUAGCGGUGAAACGCGUAGAUAUAUGGAAGAACACCAGUGGCGAAGGCGGCUGUCUGGUCUGCAACUGACGCUGAGGCUCGAAAGCAUGGGUAGCGAACAGGAUUAGAUACCCUUGGUAGUCCAUGCCGUAAACGAUGAGUA